RNAcentral lists this ribosomal RNA (432 nucleotides) under uncultured bacterium. RNAcentral's name for it is "partial 16S ribosomal RNA". It matches the Rfam family "Bacterial small subunit ribosomal RNA", at positions 29 to 506 of the family's 1533-position model. The record is from RNAcentral.
AACGAACGCUGGCGGCAUGCCUAACACAUGCAAGUCGAACGAGACCUUCGGGUCUAGUGGCGCACGGGUGCGUAACGCGUGGGAACCUGCCCUUAGGUUCGGAAUAACUCCCCGAAAGGGGUGCUAAUACCGGAUAAUGUCUUCGGACCAAAGAUUUAUCGCCUUUGGAUGGGCCCGCGUUGGAUUAGCUAGUUGGUAGGGUAAAAGCCUACCAAGGCGACGAUCCAUAGCUGGUCUGAGAGGAUGAUCAGCCACACUGGGACUGAGACACGGCCCAGACUCCUACGGGAGGCAGCAGUGGGGAAUAUUGGACAAUGGGCGAAAGCCUGAUCCAGCAAUGCCGCGUGAGUGAUGAAGGCCUUAGGGUUGUAAAGCUCUUUUACCCGGGAUGAUAAUGACAGUACCGGGAGAAUAAGCUCCGGCUAACUCCGA